This 75-nucleotide transfer RNA is filed under the name Candidatus Kaiserbacteria bacterium. Its description in RNAcentral is "tRNA-Asn". It matches the Rfam family "tRNA". From Rfam's summary of the family: Transfer RNA (tRNA) molecules are approximately 80 nucleotides in length. Lineage: Bacteria; Candidatus Kaiseribacteriota. The record is from RNAcentral.
UCCGCGGUAGCUCAGUGGUAGAGCGGCGCUCUGUUAAAGCGUUGGUCGCUGGUUCGAAUCCAGCCCGCGGAGCCA